Molecule: long non-coding RNA, 1064 nt
Organism: Dermochelys coriacea (leatherback sea turtle)
Lineage: Eukaryota; Metazoa; Chordata; Testudines; Dermochelyidae
Exons: 3
Source: RefSeq, a predicted model, not a curated record
UGAAGGCUGACCCUUCCUGUAAGGGAAGUAACCAAACUUGUAAAGCUUGCAUAUAGAUGGAUAUUGGUGGUGGGACAACAAUAAGUAAAUAAAGACAUGGGUGUUGCACAAUCCUGAAGCCUCUCUGAGCCUUCCACUGGGAAGGGCAAGAGGGCCUCAGGAAGAGGGGUAGGUAAUGGAACCCUGCUACACUUGUCUGGGAUCCUUUGUCAGAGACAUAGUUUGGUGACCCGGAGAUGGAGGGCACUCUGCAGUGGCUCAUGGAGCAACACUGGGAGGUGCAGAAGACACUGCAGGCCUUUCAGCAGUCCCACCAGCUGGAGAGGCAAGCUCCAUUGGCUUGGCAGGUGAGCAACAAUGGAUGUUGCAGGUCUUUAUCAAAGAACAGGCAGUGGUGCAGCAGUAGCUCCUGCAGAAACUGAUGGGAAACUGAGGCACAGAGCUGCAAAGACAUUUGGCCAAAGUCACUCUUCAGAAACAGAUGGAUUUGAUUUUCUCACACUUUCUAUUUGCUGAGAAUAACAACUCUUAAAUCAAAGCUGAGGAGGUGAAAAGACAAGGACAAAAAUAUGCAAACAUCUGUAACCACCUGGACAAUGAAAUGCAGAACUAUAACCUGACAUGCAGGUUAACUAAAACUAACAGAUAAUUAUUUGAUUAAAUCCCAUCCUGAGACGGAUCCUCAGCUAUCCUACUGUAUGGGCUGCAUAGUACAGGUCUGAUAAAUUCUCUGCUACCGAGUGAAGCAAGUAUGUGUGGUCAGGCUUUUUGUUUCAUGACUGCCUUGGCCGCACAUGGCUGACCAUAAGUGGUGACUUUUAAUUUUUUUUUUUUUUUUUUUUGGGGCAUGGACCCAUCACAGAAUCUCCCAGAAACUGGAUUGCAAGGGAGGUUCAUCUGAAAGUCUCUCACCUCUAUUUCUGGGUGGGGAUGUUGCCAACACUCUCUGCUAGGUGGUGCUGGCUGAAGAAAUAGGACACCACCAGUCUAGCUCCAAAUGCACUUUAUAAUAAAGGGGUUAAAAUGUUUGUUUCUUCUUUGGCAUUUUGCAUGGGAAAAGAAAU